UUUUUUUCUUAGUUCCGUAUGGACUACGCAAUCUACCUCGUGAUAUGGUGCAACGACCAUCAGAAGUGGGCAAGAUAUUGGGAUUACUUAUGCAGGGAAAUAAUAGAGUUUGUGUGGUCGGGGUUCGUAGUGGCGAUGUUUUUGGUAUUCGUGGUAUGGGGGGCCUCGGUAAGACCGUCUUAGCCCUGGCUGUUGCUUGGGCUGCCUCAGAUUCUCGUCAGGUUAUCUGGCUGGACAUUGGUGAAACUCCGGACUGCUUAGCACUGAUUAACAUCCUUAUUAAAGUUCUUGGUGGCGGAGCUGUAUCGUUCAGUGAUAUCCCCGCUGCACAAGCCUGGAUCAGAGCAAAUAC
Paramuricea clavata is the source of this 352-nucleotide non-coding RNA. Lineage: Eukaryota; Metazoa; Cnidaria; Anthozoa; Malacalcyonacea; Plexauridae. The record is from the annotation of a GenBank genome assembly.